RNAcentral lists this ribosomal RNA (560 nucleotides) under uncultured Alphaproteobacteria bacterium. RNAcentral's name for it is "bacterial SSU rRNA". It matches the Rfam family "Bacterial small subunit ribosomal RNA", at positions 338 to 916 of the family's 1533-position model. The record is from RNAcentral. Lineage: Bacteria; Pseudomonadati; Pseudomonadota; Alphaproteobacteria.
CCUACGGGAGGCAGCAGUAGGGAAUCUUGGGCAAUGGGCGAAAGCCUGACCCAGCCAUGCCGCGUGAAUGAUGAAGGUCUUAGGAUUGUAAAAUUCUUUCACCGGGGACGAUAAUGACGGUACCCGGAGAAGAAGCCCCGGCUAACUUCGUGCCAGCAGCCGCGGUAAUACGAAGGGGGCUAGCGUUGCUCGGAAUUACUGGGCGUAAAGGGCGCGUAGGCGGAUCGUUAAGUCAGAGGUGAAAGCCCAGGGCUCAACCUUGGAACUGCCUUUGAUACUGGCGAUCUGGAGUACGGGAGAGGUGUGUGGAACUCCGAGUGUAGAGGUGAAAUUCGUAGAUAUUCGGAAGAACACCAGUGGCGAAGGCGACACACUGGCCCGUUACUGACGCUGAGGCGCGAAAGCGUGGGGAGCAGACAGGAUUAGAUACCCUGGUAGUCCACGCCGUAAACGAUGAGUGCUAGUUGUCGGCAUGCAUGCAUGUCGGUGACGCAGCUAACGCAUUAAGCACUCCGCCUGGGGAGUACGGUCGCAAGAUUAAAACUCAAAGGAAUUGACGG